CCUACGGGAGGCUGCAGUGGGGAAUAUUGGGCAAUGGAGGCAACUCUGACCCAGCAACGCCGCGUGAAUGAUGAAGGUCUUCGGGUUGUAAACUGCUUUUAUCAGCGAGAAAUAUGAUGGUAACUUAUGACUAAUGAUCGGCUAACUACGUGCAAGCAGCCGCGGUCCUACGUAGGAUCCGAGCAUUAUCCGGAGUGACUGGGUGUAAAGAGUUGCGUAGGUGGCAUAAUAAGUAGCUAUUGAAAUCUGGUGGCUCAACCAUUCAGACUAUUAGCUAAACUGUUAAGCUCGAGACAGUUAGGGGUAACGGGAAUUUCUAGUGUAGGAGUGAAAUCCGUAGAUAUUAGAAGGAACACCAAUAGCGUAGGCAGGUUACUGGGACGGUUCUGACACUAAGGCACGAAAGCGUAGGGAGCAAACGGGAUUAGAUACCCCAGUAGUC
This 442-nucleotide ribosomal RNA is filed under the name uncultured bacterium. RNAcentral describes it as "partial 16S ribosomal RNA". It matches the Rfam family "Bacterial small subunit ribosomal RNA", at positions 338 to 795 of the family's 1533-position model. The record is from RNAcentral.